Acanthopagrus latus (yellowfin seabream) is the source of this 2281-nucleotide long non-coding RNA. RefSeq lists it as uncharacterized. The transcript is spliced from 7 exons. The record is from RefSeq and is a predicted model, not a curated record. NCBI's taxonomy places the organism in Eukaryota, Metazoa, Chordata, Actinopteri, Spariformes, Sparidae.
GUACGCGCUCAGGUGCAUGGCUGCGGAACGUGGAGGUGUAGGUCCGGCUGGAGGAAGACUGGUGCUGGGUGAGGAGCGUGUGGGUCCCGGGGUUUUAUACAGCCGGCACCGCCUCGAGCUCUGGCAGCUACUCAGGUGAACCCAGUCUGUCAUUAAACUUCACACUCGGCGUCUGUUAUUGUUUCCUCUCUUUUGUUCCUCCUGGAACAGAAGACACCAGAGGCUCAUUCACUGCACUUCCGAGGGGAAAAUAAAGGACAACAUGGCCGGCUCUCCUCAGAAGACUAUUUACACUUCGACGCCCCUCUGAGCUUCUUAUGGGACCAGCUUGGAUGAAUGCUGCACAGUGAAUACGAUAGGCCUCCCUGCUGGCUUUUGUUGCCUUCUGCUAUGUAAAGAAACAGAAAGCCGAGAGCCGACUCCCUUCUCGGAGCAGCACUGAAACUCUGCGGCAGGAAUCCGCUCGCCCUCGAACCCUCAUGGGAAAUGAAAAGGUGGCCGGUGUUAAUAGCAUAUUGACAAGCAGCAUGGCAGGAGUGUGUGCAUGAUCAGGAAGCGCCCACAUGCAGCAAUGGGAGGUGUGUCGAGGGCGACCGGAGGGGAACAAAAGCAACGCACAACACCGGAACAAAGCCAAGGAAGAGAGGUCUCCAGGCAACAGGUGUGGCUGCAGUGACAGGUGAAACACAAUGGAGGUGGACGGCUUGAUCUCCAACGCUGAUACUUUAAAAACCCCAAAGACACAUAAUCUGUCUGGUUUAACUUUAUUUUUCUUCUCUCACACUGAAAACAGAACAUACGGGACUCUCUUCAGCAGUGUGGAAUAACAAGAGACGCUGAUGUUUGUGAGCUUCGCCUUGACAAAAAAUCAGAGAGCUCAGCUGUCAUUCCCUCAACUGCUGCCUCACUGAACUUCACCUCCACAAUAACAACAUCAAGUCAGUCUCAGUAAUCUAAUCUAAGUCCACCCAGGUCCUUCACACAGGGGCCCUGAAUCACCUGACCUGCCUCCGACUUCUUCUCCUCCACAACAACCAGAUCAGAGGUCUGCAGGACACCAUGCAUGAACUCAGGAGGAUGCAGCAGCUUCAGACUGCGACUUUCUUCCUCAAUCCCUUCUCCCACGAGCCUGGGUAUCGACCCCAUGUCAUCCACUGCCUACCUUCUAUCCAGGUACUAGACAGAAAAGAGGUGCUGUCAGCAGAGAGGAGGAGCUGCCUCCAGAUGUUCAGCCGUGAUCGUCACCGUGUCCUCCAGUCUGUGGCCUUCAGCAGACGGGCAACAUGACCGUCCACCAGCUGAGAGGAUGUUUGUUAUCCAUCUUAGCAAAAAAGUCCAGUUGUGUUCAAAUAUGUGUUUGUUUUUAUUUCAAAACACUGAAUUACUUUUUAAUGACCUGUCAGAGUACGAUUUAUUGACCUGCUUAUUCAACUAAUCGAUACAGGGGGAACUUCAAAGAGAGAUGCAAUUAAUCUGAUAUCUGAUAAAGCGGUGAGGUGAGCAACUCAAACUCUCCAGGAUCUCUGCUCUGAUGGAUGAUGAGGAGCAGGAGAGUCAGAUGAAGAAGAAGAAGAGGAAGAGGACUAAGGCUCUGGGUAACGACACGAUCAGAGCCACAGAGGAGGAGCUGAGAGCUGAAGACGUCCAGCAGUGCCGUCCUGCUGGAUGAUACACAGCAGCCCUCAGGAGCUCUGAUCAGACGUGGCCAAACACCUGGGCUACCUGAACCUUCAACAUCUGGAACCAGAUGAAGGAAGAUGGUGUCCUGCACUCCUGUGAUUCAUCCAGAACUCCUCCUGUCUGAAGAUCUGACCAGUGUGAGUCAUGGAGAGAGACAGAAGCCUCCGACUGGACUGUGAUCGUUUAGUCCUCGGCUCUGACGGUUGUCAGUGUGGUAGCAGAGGCUGCUGUGAGAAAGGGAGAUAUAAGCUCACAGUCCACAUUGUGGGGAACAUGGCUGUAUAAAGGUGAAGGCACAACAUGCUCUCUACCCGGUCCAGACACUAUCCAGAGGAUCAGAGUUCAUCCAGACUGGAAACUACCACUGAAGAAAGUCAGGUGAAGUUGGAAGUCGUAGGACAGAAAACACACACAACAUUUCUGGAGCUUCAAAGCAAGACAGUGUUGCAGCAUUCAAGUAAAAAGAACCAACCGAAAGUAAUAUAAUAUGGCUCUUUUCAGCUUGUCCAGCAUGAUCAUGACCCAUUCACUACUGCGAUGUCAACGAGUGAGAAAACUGUCAUUCCCUUCAUCCUGGAUCUGACCCAGAAGUCACUCCUCA